This 641-nucleotide ribosomal RNA is filed under the name Limnius volckmari. RNAcentral describes it as "partial large subunit ribosomal RNA". It matches the Rfam family "Eukaryotic large subunit ribosomal RNA", at positions 653 to 1247 of the family's 3401-position model. The record is from RNAcentral. Lineage: Eukaryota; Metazoa; Arthropoda; Insecta; Coleoptera; Elmidae.
CUUGAAACACGGACCAAGGAGUCUAGCAUGUGCGCGAGUCAUUGGGACUUGCGAAACCUAAAGGCGAAAUGAAAGUGAAGGCGUGCCUCGCGCGCGCCGAGGGAGGAUGGGCCGCGCCACGGCGCGGCCCCGCACUCCCGGGGCGUUUCGUUCUCAUCGCGAGAUGAGGCGCACCCAGAGCGUACACGCUGGGACCCGAAAGAUGGUGAACUAUGCCUGGUCAGGACGAAGUCAGGGGAAACCCUGAUGGAGGUCCGUAGCGAUUCUGACGUGCAAAUCGAUCGUCGGAACUGGGUAUAGGGGCGAAAGACUAAUCGAACCAUCUAGUAGCUGGUUCCCUCCGAAGUUUCCCUCAGGAUAGCUGGCGCUCGCUUUGCGAGUCUCAUCCGGUAAAGCGAAUGAUUAGAGGCAUUGGGGUCGAAACGGCCUCAACCUAUUCUCAAACUUUAAAUGGGUGAGAUCUCCGGCUUGCUCGAAACAUGAAGCCGCGAGAUGAUAUUAAUUCGGAUCAGGGUGCCAAGUGGGCCAUUUUUGGUAAGCAGAACUGGCGCUGUGGGAUGAACCAAACGCAGAGUUAAAGCGCCAAAAUCGACGCUUAUGGGAUACCAUGAAAGGCGUUGGUAACUUAAGACAGCAGGACG